Non-coding RNA from Acyrthosiphon pisum (pea aphid), 69 nucleotides. NCBI's taxonomy places the organism in Eukaryota, Metazoa, Arthropoda, Insecta, Hemiptera, Aphididae. The record is from RefSeq and is marked provisional.
CACAUCAUGAUUCUCGUGAAGAGGGAGUUUACUCUCUCCCAUGCAUUCUUUGAGCUUAGCAUGAUGGCU